GAUGAACGCUGGCGGCGUGCCUAAUACAUGCAAGUCGAGCGAACAGACGAGGAGCUUGCUCCUCUGACGUUAGCGGCGGGCGGGUGAGUAACACGUGGAUAACCUACCUAUAAGACUGGGAUAACUUCGGGAAACCGGAGCUAAUACCGGGUAAUAUAUUGAACCGCAUGGUUCAAUAGUGAAAGACGGUUUUGCUGUCACUUAUAGAUGGAUCCGCGCCGCAUUAGCUAGUUGGUAAGGUAACGGCUUACCAAGGCAACGAUGCGUAGCCGACCUGAGAGGGUGAUCGGCCACACUGGAACUGAGACACGGUCCAGACUCCUACGGGAGGCAGCAGUAGGGAAUCUUCCGCAAUGGGCGAAAGCCUGACGGAGCAACGCCGCGUGAGUGAUGAAGGUCUUCGGAUCGUAAAACUCUGUUAUUAGGGAAGAACAAAUGUGUAAGUAACUAUGCACGUCUUGACGGUACCUAAUCAGAAAGCCACGGCUAACUACGUG
Molecule: ribosomal RNA, 497 nt
Filed under: uncultured bacterium
Lineage: Bacteria
Description: partial 16S ribosomal RNA
Rfam family: Bacterial small subunit ribosomal RNA
Source: RNAcentral